RNAcentral lists this ribosomal RNA (492 nucleotides) under uncultured bacterium. RNAcentral's name for it is "partial 16S ribosomal RNA". It matches the Rfam family "Bacterial small subunit ribosomal RNA", at positions 29 to 507 of the family's 1533-position model. The record is from RNAcentral.
AGUGAACGCUGGCGGUCGGCCUAACACAUGCAAGUCGAACGGCCGCACAGUAAGAGCUUGCUCUUACGGGUGGCGAGUGUCGGACGGGUGAGGAAUACAUCGGAAUCUACUUUUUCGUGGGGGAUAACGUAGGGAAACUUACGCUAAUACCGCAUACGACCUACGGGUGAAAGCAGGGGAUCUUCGGACCUUGCGCGAUUGAAUGAGCCGAUGUCGGAGUAGCUAGUUGGCGGGGUAAAGGCCCACCAAGGCGACGAUCCGUAGCUGGUCUGAGAGGAUGAUCAGCCACACUGGAACUGAGACACGGUCCAGACUCCUACGGGAGGCAGCAGUGGGGAAUAUUGGACAAUGGGCGCAAGCCUGAUCCAGCCAUACCGCGUGGGUGAAGAAGGCCUUCGGGUUGUAAAGCCCUUUUGCUGGGAAAGAAAAGCAGCAGGUUAAUACCCCGCUGUUCUGACGGUACCCAAAGAAUAAGCACCGGCUAACUUCGUG